RNAcentral lists this long non-coding RNA (301 nucleotides) under Musa acuminata (dwarf banana). RNAcentral's name for it is "long non-coding RNA (MACU_LNC000010)". Lineage: Eukaryota; Viridiplantae; Streptophyta; Magnoliopsida; Zingiberales; Musaceae. The record is from RNAcentral.
GAGCAACGGUGAAGGAGGGCCGGCGGUCGGCGGAGGCGGGGGAAAGAAGAGGCGAGUCGGCGCCGAAGCUGAUCAUGGGCACGUCCGGUUCGGGGAAGCGGUAGCCGGAGCCGGUGGCGACGGGCGGCGGCAGGGAGAAGGCGGAGGAGGGGGGAGUCGGGGGGAGGUCGGCGAAGAGGUGCUCGCGGAUGAAGUCGAGGGUGGGAUCGCCAAAGCCGCCGAUCCCCGACGCCAUGAGUCAAGAACGAAUCUACCGAAGAGAAGAACACGAUAGAGGCGCAAGAAGGAAAGCGCGACGGAU